CUUAGUCGGGGGAAUGGCGGCAAUUAGCGAUCUUUCAAUGGAUUCGGUUCUUUCUGGUUUCGAUCAAAUUUACGAGGAUUUCAAGAAGGGAAUCGAAGAGAUUCAGUUACUGAAAUCGAAUUGGAAUGCAGAAAUAAAGAGAGGAGAGGCUCUUGAAAUCGCUUGCGACUCUCUAAAACAAGGAGCUUGCUCUCAGCCAUGGUGAUUAUCAGAAGAAAAGACAGGAGCAGAAGGAGGUUAAACAGCACUGAUGUUUUGAUGUUAAGCCUAGCCAUUGAUGACCAAAUGCGUCCCAGCAGGUACUAACUCUUCUUGCUAUAUAUAUGUUUGUGUGUGUAGAGAUUUUGGUUUGA
Molecule: long non-coding RNA, 353 nt
Organism: Hibiscus syriacus
Lineage: Eukaryota; Viridiplantae; Streptophyta; Magnoliopsida; Malvales; Malvaceae
Exons: 3
Source: RefSeq, a predicted model, not a curated record